AUUGAACGCUGGCGGCAUGCCUUACACAUGCAAGUCGAACGGCAGCACGGGAGCAAUCCUGGUGGCGAGUGGCGAACGGGUGAGUAAUGUAUCGGAACGUACCUUUCAGUGGGGGAUAACGUAGCGAAAGUUACGCUAAUACCGCAUAUUCUGUGAGCAGGAAAGCAGGGGAUCGCAAGACCUUGCGCUGAUUGAGCGGCCGAUAUCAGAUUAGCUAGUUGGUGAGGUAAAGGCUCACCAAGGCGACGAUCUGUAGCGGGUCUGAGAGGAUGAUCCGCCACACUGGAACUGAGACACGGUCCAGACUCCUACGGGAGGCAGCAGUGGGGAAUUUUGGACAAUGGGCGGCAAGCCUGAUCCAGCCAUGCCGCGUGAGUGAAGAAGGCCUUCGGGUUGUAAAGCUCUUUCAGCCGGGAAGAAAACGCAUGGGUUAAUACCCUGUGUGGAUGACGGUACCGGAAUAAGAAGCACCGGCUAACUACGUG
This 485-nucleotide ribosomal RNA is filed under the name uncultured bacterium. RNAcentral describes it as "bacterial SSU rRNA". It matches the Rfam family "Bacterial small subunit ribosomal RNA", at positions 30 to 507 of the family's 1533-position model. The record is from RNAcentral.